UACGAAGGGGGCUAGCGUUGCUCGGAAUGACUGGGCGUAAAGGGCGCGUAGGCGGUUUGCACAGUCAGAUGUGAAAUUCCUGGGCUCAACCUGGGGGCUGCAUUUGAUACGUGUAGACUUGAGUGGGGAAGAGGGUCGUGGAAUUCCCAGUGUAGAGGUGGAAUUCGUAGAUAUUGGGAAGAACACCGGUGGCGAAGGCGGCGACCUGGUCCUUGACUGACGCUGAGGCGCGAAAGCGUGGGGAGCAAACAGG
This 253-nucleotide ribosomal RNA is filed under the name uncultured bacterium. Its description in RNAcentral is "partial 16S ribosomal RNA". It matches the Rfam family "Bacterial small subunit ribosomal RNA", at positions 524 to 776 of the family's 1533-position model. The record is from RNAcentral.